Molecule: ribosomal RNA, 253 nt
Filed under: uncultured bacterium
Lineage: Bacteria
Description: partial 16S ribosomal RNA
Rfam family: Bacterial small subunit ribosomal RNA
Source: RNAcentral
UACAGAGGUCUCAAGCGUUGUCCGGAAUCAUUGGGCGUAAAGAGCGUGUAGGCGGCCACUUAAGUCCUGCGUGAAAUCUUGCGGCUCAACCGCAAGCGGUCGUGGGAAACUGGGUGGCUAGAGUGCGGGAGAGGAGAGUGGAAUUUCUGGUGUAGCGGUGGAAUGCGCAGAUAUCAGGAGGAACACCAAUAGCGAAGGCAGCUCGCUGGGACGGUAUUGACGCUAAGGCGCGAAAGCGUGGGGAGCAAACAGG